Molecule: ribosomal RNA, 579 nt
Filed under: Lysobacteraceae bacterium StRD606
Lineage: Bacteria; Pseudomonadati; Pseudomonadota; Gammaproteobacteria; Lysobacterales; Lysobacteraceae
Description: bacterial SSU rRNA
Rfam family: Bacterial small subunit ribosomal RNA
Source: RNAcentral
ACGGGUGAGUAAUGCAUCGGGACCUACCCAGACGUGGGGGAUAACGUAGGGAAACUUACGCUAAUACCGCAUACGUCCUACGGGAGAAAGCAGGGGAUCUUCGGACCUUGCGCGGUUGGACGGACCGAUGUGCGAUUAGCUAGUUGGUAAGGUAAUGGCUUACCAAGGCGACGAUCGCUAGCUGGUCUGAGAGGAUGAUCAGCCACACUGGAACUGAGACACGGUCCAGACUCCUACGGGAGGCAGCAGUGGGGAAUAUUGGACAAUGGGCGCAAGCCUGAUCCAGCAAUGCCGCGUGUGUGAAGAAGGCCCUCGGGUUGUAAAGCACUUUUAUCAGGAACGAAAUACCACGGGCUAAUACCCCAUGGGGCUGACGGUACCUGAGGAAUAAGCACCGGCUAACUUCGUGCCAGCAGCCGCGGUAAUACGAAGGGUGCAAGCGUUAAUCGGAAUUACUGGGCGUAAAGGGUGCGUAGGCGGUUUGUUAAGUCUGUUGUGAAAUCCCCGGGCUCAACCUGGGAAUGGCAAUGGAUACUGGCAAGCUAGAGUGUGUCAGAGGAUGGUGGAAUUUCCGGUGUA